GUCUUGUUUUAUUUUUGUGUUGUUGAUUUUUAUGUUUUAUUGAAAAAUCAUUUUGUUGUUGUAUAUUUGUGAUUUAAUUAUUUUUGCUAUAGUUUAUUUGUACUGUAGGGGUAUGAUGUGUUAAUGUAUUUUUAGAAGCUGAUUUUAUUUGUCGUACCUUGUGUAUCAGGGUUCAUUGAAUUUUAUUAUUUAUUUUUGUUUCCCGAUUUUAAAGGAGUUAAUGAUUUAUUUUAGUUAUUGUUUCAAUAUUAUUAAUAAUAGGUCGUUGGUAGUGAAAUGUUAUUCGUCUUUAAUGGUUUCUGGUUUUCCAAGAAAUGAAUUCAAUUCAUGUUCUUUAUUUAAUUUUUAUUGUUUUUAUUAUCAUUUUUUAUUUUGAGCUAAGAUUAAGGGGGAUUAGCUCCUUAUUUUAUUUUUAUAAUCUGUAUAUGUAUUUAGUUUUGUGGAUUUUAUAGUGAUUUUCAAUUUGAUUAUGUUAAAAUUUUAUUUGUUUUUUUGUUUAUUUAUUUUUGUGAUUUAAUUUAUUUAUUGGAAUAUUUUCUUUAGUUUUUGUUUGGUUUGUAAUUAUUGUGUAAUUAGUAAAUUUUGCUUUAUGUUGUUAAUUGUUUGUUAAUUUCUCUUAAGGAACUAGGCAAAGCUUUCAUGUCCGCCUGUUUAACAAAACAUCUUUUCUCGUUAGUUUUUGAAGUAUGGCCUGCCCACUGACUUUGGUUGAAGGGCCGCGGUAUUUUGACCGUGCAAAGGUAGCAUAAUCAUUAGUUCUUUAAUUGUGAUCUGGUAUGAAUGGCUUGACGAGACAUGCACUGUCUUAAGUAUCGAAUGUUUGAUUGAACUUGGUUUUUGAGUUAAAAUUCUUAAAUGUUUUUAUGGGACGAGAAGACCCUAUAGAGUUUAACAUUUAUUUUACUUUCUUUUACUUUGUUUGUUUUAUUUUAUUAAGUAAUUUAGGUGUUUUGUUGGGGUGAUGGGAGGAAUUUAUUUAACUCCUCUUUAUUUUGUAUAUUUAUAUAUAAUUUUUUGAUCCAUUUAUUUUGAUUAUAAGAUUAAAUUACCUUAGGGAUAACAGCGUUAUCUUCCCUGAGAGUUCUUAUUGGCGGGGAGGUUUGCGACCUCGAUGUUGGAUUAAGGUUAAUUUUCGGUGUAGGAGCUGAAAGUGAUUAGGUCUGUUCGACCUUUAAAAUCUUACAUGAUCUGAGUUCAGACCGGCGUGAGCCAGGUUGGUUUCUAUCUAUAAUGUUAUUUAUAUCUUAGUACGAGAGGACCGGGUAUUUGGAAUAAUUUUAUUUUAUAUGAAUUUUAUUAAUAUUGUUGCUAUUUUGGCAGAUAAGUGCAUUGGAUUUAGAAUCUAUUAAUGUAAAGUUUU
RNAcentral lists this ribosomal RNA (1360 nucleotides) under Ruptitermes nr. xanthochiton FG-ND2-26. RNAcentral's name for it is "16S ribosomal RNA". The stretch from base 862 to 1231 matches the Rfam family "Archaeal large subunit ribosomal RNA", at positions 2150 to 2716 of the family's 2987-position model. Lineage: Eukaryota; Metazoa; Arthropoda; Insecta; Blattodea; Termitidae. The record is from RNAcentral.